ACAAACGCUGGCGGCGUGCCUAAUACAUGCAAGUCGAACGGGGAAAGUAGCAAUACGAGUACUAGUGGCGCACGGGUGAGGAAUACAUGGGUAAUCUGCCCUCGAGCUCGGGAUAACCAGUCGAAAGACUGGCUAAUACCGGAUAUGACCACACCAUCUGAGGAUGAAGGGGUAAAAGGUUUUUCGCUUGAGGAUGAGCCCAUGUGGGAUUAGCUAGUUGGUAAGGUAACGGCUUACCAAGGCGACGAUCCCUAACUGGGCUUAGAGGAUGAUCAGUCACACUGGAACUGAGACACGGUCCAGACUCCUACGGGAGGCAGCAGUAGGGAAUAUUGCACAAUGGAGGAAACUCUGAUGCAGCGACGCCGCGUGAGUAAUGAAGGCCUUCGGGUCGUAAAGCUCUGUCGUAUGGGACUAACAAAAUGAAGGUACCAUGCAAGAAAGGAUCGGCUAACUUCGU
Molecule: ribosomal RNA, 460 nt
Filed under: uncultured bacterium
Lineage: Bacteria
Description: bacterial SSU rRNA
Rfam family: Bacterial small subunit ribosomal RNA
Source: RNAcentral